GACGAACGCUGGCGGCGUGCCUAAUACAUGCAAGUUGAGCGCUGAAGGUUGGUACUUGUACCAACUGGAUGAGCAGCGAACGGGUGAGUAACGCGUGGGGAAUCUGCCUUUGAGCGGGGGACAACAUUUGGAAACGAAUGCUAAUACCGCAUAAAAACUUUAAACACAAGUUUUAAGUUUGAAAGAUGCAAUUGCAUCACUCAAAGAUGAUCCCGCGUUGUAUUAGCUAGUUGGUGAGGUAAAGGCUCACCAAGGCGAUGAUACAUAGCCGACCUGCGAGGGUGAUCGGCCACAUUGGGACUGAGACACGGCCCAAACUCCUACGGGAGGCAGCAGGAGGGAAUCUUCGGCAAUGGACGAAAGUCUGACCGAGAAACGCCGCGGGAGUGAAGAAGGUUUUCGGAUCGUAAAAAUCUGUUGGUAGAGAAGAACGUUGGUGAGAGUGGAAAGCUCAUCAAGUGACGGUAACUACCCAGAAAGGGACGGCUAACUACGUG
RNAcentral lists this ribosomal RNA (497 nucleotides) under uncultured bacterium. Its description in RNAcentral is "partial 16S ribosomal RNA". It matches the Rfam family "Bacterial small subunit ribosomal RNA", at positions 28 to 507 of the family's 1533-position model. The record is from RNAcentral.